This 492-nucleotide ribosomal RNA is filed under the name uncultured bacterium. RNAcentral describes it as "partial 16S ribosomal RNA". It matches the Rfam family "Bacterial small subunit ribosomal RNA", at positions 29 to 507 of the family's 1533-position model. The record is from RNAcentral.
AGUGAACGCUGGCGGUAGGCCUAACACAUGCGAGUCGAACGGAAGCAAAGUAAGAGCUUGCUUUUACGGGUGCCGAGUGGCGAACGGGGGGGGAAAAAAUGGGAAUCUCCUUUUCCGUGGGGGAUAACGUAGGGAAAUUUACGCAAAUACCGCAAAGGACCUACGGGUGAAAGAAGGGGACCUCCGAACCUUGCGCGAUUGAAUGAGCCGAUGUCGGAUUAGCUGGUUGGCGGGGUAAAGGCCCACCAAGGCGACGAUCGGUAGCUGGACUGAGAGGAUGAUCAGCCACACUGGAACUGAGACACGGCCCAGACUCCUACGGGAGGCAGCAGUGGGGAAUAUUGGACAAUGGGCGCAAACCUGAUCCAACCAUACCGCGUGGGUGAAGAAGGCCUUCGGGUUGUAAAGCCCUUUUGUUGGGAAAGAAAAGCAGCAGGUUAAUACCCCGCUGUUCUGACGGUACCCAAAGAAUAAGCACCGGCUAACUUCGUG